AUCUUGGUAGUCUACUUAAGACUAUAAACUGUAAAUUUAUAAACGGAAUUUCCCCAUGAGA
Molecule: transfer RNA, 61 nt
Filed under: Liposcelis bostrychophila
Lineage: Eukaryota; Metazoa; Arthropoda; Insecta; Psocodea; Liposcelididae
Description: tRNA-Tyr
Source: RNAcentral